RNAcentral lists this ribosomal RNA (506 nucleotides) under uncultured bacterium. Its description in RNAcentral is "partial 16S ribosomal RNA". It matches the Rfam family "Bacterial small subunit ribosomal RNA", at positions 29 to 523 of the family's 1533-position model. The record is from RNAcentral.
AGUGAACGCUGGCGGCAGGCCUAACACAUGCAAGUCGAACGGCAGCACAGAGGAGCUUGCUCCUUGGGUGGCGAGUGGCGGACGGGUGAGGAAUACAUCGGAAUCUGCCUAUUUGUGGGGGAUAACGUAGGGAAACUUACGCUAAUACCGCAUACGACCUACGGGUGAAAGCGGAGGACCUUCGGGCUUCGCGCAGAUAGAUGAGCCGAUGUCGGAUUAGCUAGUUGGCGGGGUAAAGGCCCACCAAGGCGACGAUCCGUAGCUGGUCUGAGAGGAUGAUCAGCCACACUGGAACUGAGACACGGUCCAGACUCCUACGGGAGGCAGCAGUGGGGAAUAUUGGACAAUGGGCGCAAGCCUGAUCCAGCCAUGCCGCGUGGGUGAAGAAGGCCUUCGGGUUGUAAAGCCCUUUUGUUGGGAAAGAAAAGCAGCCGGUUAAUACCCGGUUGUUCUGACGGUACCCAAAGAAUAAGCACCGGCUAACUUCGUGCCAGCAGCCGCCGUAA